Molecule: ribosomal RNA, 549 nt
Filed under: uncultured bacterium
Lineage: Bacteria
Description: bacterial SSU rRNA
Rfam family: Bacterial small subunit ribosomal RNA
Source: RNAcentral
AGGGAAUCUUCCGCAAUGGGCGAAAGCCUGACGGAGCAACGCCGCGUGAGUGAUGAAGGUCUUCGGAUCGUAAAACUCUGUUAUUAGGGAAGAACAUAUGUGUAAGUAACUGUGCACAUCUUGACGGUACCUAAUCAGAAAGCCACGGCUAACUACGUGCCAGCAGCCGCGGUAAUACGUAGGUGGCAAGCGUUAUCCGGAAUUAUUGGGCGUAAAGCGCGCGUAGGCGGUUUUUUAAGUCUGAUGUGAAAGCCCACGGCUCAACCGUGGAGGGUCAUUGGAAACUGAAAAACUUGAGUGCAGAAGAGGAAAGUGGAAUUCCAUGUGUAGCGGUGAAAUGCGCAGAGAUAUGGAGGAACACCAGUGGCGAAGGCGACUUUCUGGUCUGUAACUGACGCUGAUGUGCGAAAGCGUGGGGAUCAAACAGGAUUAGAUACCCUGGUAGUCCACGCCGUAAACGAUGAGUGCUAAGUGUUAGGGGGUUUCCGCCCCUUAGUGCUGCAGCUAACGCAUUAAGCACUCCGCCUGGGGAGUACGACCGCAAGGUUG